Molecule: long non-coding RNA, 860 nt
Organism: Photinus pyralis (common eastern firefly)
Lineage: Eukaryota; Metazoa; Arthropoda; Insecta; Coleoptera; Lampyridae
Exons: 3
Source: RefSeq, a predicted model, not a curated record
CAAUAUUCCUGUCAGAUAACACCAGCUGAUAUCAGUGGCGUAACUAAUACUAAUUUAUUAAAUCUUGGGCGUUCGUGAAAGCAAUCCGAAAAGUUAACAUUUUAGUUUAUAUCUGAUUUGGGGAUUUCGUUUGGGCGUGAAAAUUUCGAAGGGAACGAAUCUACCGAGACGAAUAUUUUGUCAAUAAUAUGAAAUUCUGGAAUGUAAUAGAUAUAACAGCAAGUGAAAGUAUUCUGGAGGAAGAUAAUCUCCAGGAGACGAACUUUCCGGAAGUGAACCUUUCUAUGACGAAUAUUACGAGCCCGCAACUCAUUUAUCUAGCUAGUUUUCUUUGGACUUUAUAGACAAAUGUUUUAGGGCGGAUUUUCAAGUAAUUGAGCUAAUGAAAUUAAAUACACCAAUAUUAUUUUAUUUUAAAAUGUUCGAAACACACAACCAAUGAAGCCCAGGGACGUGAUGUAGACAAUUCCCACCAAUCCCACCUGGAGAAUUAGCACCAAUAAAAUAAUUUGCAGUCGGACAAUUUGCACCGGGACAUUUUAUUGCUUCCAUGAUAUUUCGCAUCCUGGACAUUUCGCUUCCGGAUAAUUCGCAACCGCGGAAAAUUUGCAUUAGGGAUACUUUUGGUACUAUAAGCAUUGAAUUUAUAACUAUCAAUUCAAUGCUAUAAGUUCAUGAAACUCGAGGAGAUUUUCAAUAAAUAUGGUACUACUAUUGUAAGUCAUUUUAAUCAUGUUUAUUCGCAUUCGUAGGAAGUUAUCCAAGGAGAACAAUACCUAUUCCAAUUUAGGUAUUAUUUCAGCUUUAGCGUCAUAAGUAGGCUAUUUUUUCCUGAAAAAGAUUAUUUUAUUUAAAGUAAU